RNAcentral lists this long non-coding RNA (1895 nucleotides) under Nicotiana benthamiana. RNAcentral describes it as "long non-coding RNA (NBEN_LNC015416)". Lineage: Eukaryota; Viridiplantae; Streptophyta; Magnoliopsida; Solanales; Solanaceae. The record is from RNAcentral.
ACCCUAUACCCCACCCCCUUCCACUUCAUCUUCUCCAAACAACCUACACUCCAUCGUUAACCUCCAGCAAUGGCUGCCCUUCCCCCUCCGCCUACCAGCCAUCUCCACGUUCAAACCGUCACUCACCACCCAAUCGCCUGAACAACGACAACCCUAAGCAACGAAACAACCAUAGAUGCCCCUCCCCUAUGCUACAACAGUCCCCUUCGAUGCCCCGUCGCGAGCGUUCUCGUCGACCACCAAGUGCUCCACUAGCGACGACCACCCAUCACUAUUGUUUCUUCUCCAUGAUGCAACAGAAACCACCGCUCAACAGCUGCGGCUUCGUCGUCUUCUUCAUUUGAAACACACAAAAAAGACGCUAAAAUUUCUAAAGAAGGAGACAAACACCCACAAAAAACAGUAGCAUUGUUUUCUCUUAAACAACCUUCUUCUUCUUCUUCUUCAAAUAGCCGCAUCAGUCAUCUGCUGAAGAACAACCAUACACCUUCUCUUUGUCGCCAAAGUCUGGCGAGUUUGAGGUCCAUUUGAUUCGCCAUUGGUCUGAUACGGUUAGUUGGUUUAAGUUUCAUUUCGGUCCGUAUUUUGUUUGAUAUUCUCGAACCUAAAAUCAGUAUAUGGUUGAUUAUUUUCGUGUUCGUUGUUUAUCAUUUUCUUGAUUAUUUCUUCAGUUUGUUUUAUCAUUUGUUCUUGUUAAGUUUUAAAUGUUUUAGUUUAAUCACUUGAAUCAUUUGUCUUGAUUAUAAUGUUGUUAGAUUUAAUUUAAAGUCCAAUUGAUUAUUGAAUUUAGUGAUUUGAAUCUGUUUUAUUGUUAUGUUAAUGUUUAAAUUUGGAUCAGAGUUAGAGAAUUAAAUUUAUUUGUUUGAUCUGUUAAGUUUAAUUUGAAUCCGAGUUUAGUAAUUUAAAUUUACUUAUUUGUUAUUGUUGUUAAAUCUGAAAGUAUUUUUAUUGAUAAAAAUAUUGUUCAGUUAAAAUAAUUUUAGUUCUUUGUUGUUCAUCAUAUAGUUUGAAUUUGUUGAUUAGGAAUUGGCCAUACUUGCUGUAUUUUGGUUAAUUAAUUUAGGUGAAUUGGUUAUAGCUGAUGUGGUACAAUUGUAAUUUUCAGUUAUUUUGGGGGGGUAUUUUGGGAAUUAAUUAAAUAUGGACCCAUAACUUUUAAUUAAAAUAAGAGGGGACAAUGGUUAGUGGGAGACAAAACAUAAUGAUGUAAAGUAAAAAGGGAGUAAUGAUAAAAGGUCUUCUUUGACCACUAAAAAGGGGUUGGACUGUAGGGUCCAUAGUGACUACUUUUACCUAAUUGGAAAACAGAAAUAAUAUGUGUAAUAAUAAAAGGGGUAGUAAUAUUAGUUAAAAGAAUAGGGGAAAAAGUUUUGCCUUGGGGUUUCUAAUAGGACUCAUUUAAUACUUAGAGGGGGAGAAUUUGGAUAUCAAAACUUUCAGAACUUAAGAGAAUGAAAAAAGAGAAUAAAUAAAGAAUUGAGAGUUGAAAAGAUUAGAGAGCUGAAAACCCCACUGUUUGUUUGAAGCUUCUCUUCUUGCUUCAUUGAUAUCGUUUCUCUUGAUUUAAAUAAACUAAGACCGAUCUUAAGUAACCCUAGCGUGUCUUUAAAUUCAUUUGGCUGGUGUUGAUAUUGUUGUGGGUUGAAGUCCAUUUCUGUUGGAAUUUUUUGGGUUGAUUUUACUGGGUUUUGUUGAAAUCUGUUGUUGGGUUUAGCUAGUGCUGUUGCUGUUUUGCUGUGUUGAUUACUGCCUUGCUGAUUUAUCACCUUCCUCCUUUUGCUUUUAAUAUCAGGCACACAACUGGUACACCUUGUAAGUUGAUAACAUGAAGCAUGAAUACAAAUGAAGAGUUGGAGUUUUAAUUUUAUUUAGUUUUGUUAUUGAAUGUAUUUAGG